RNAcentral lists this ribosomal RNA (1176 nucleotides) under Triticum aestivum (bread wheat). RNAcentral's name for it is "partial small subunit ribosomal RNA". Lineage: Eukaryota; Viridiplantae; Streptophyta; Magnoliopsida; Poales; Poaceae. The record is from RNAcentral.
AUGGCCGCGCUCCGCCCCGCCCCCCGCGCCGCCAUCGGCGACCGCGGGCCGGCCGCCGUCCGCCGCGGCUCCCGCCGGACCUCGUACCUCUCCUCCGCGUCCCCGUGCUGGCAGCAGGGAAAUAUCUUGAACCGGAAAUCCAAAUGCACCACCAGAAAGCUACUGACUACUGUUACUGGUGCAAAGGGUGCUGAAUCUGAAUUUGAUAGCGUCAAUGCACCACUUGAGCCCCAAACAUGGGAAGGGAGCUUCUUGUGUGGCUUAUUGAAGAACCAGCCUCAAAUUUUCCUAGUAGCUGCAGCAAAGCAACUUCAGCGUCUGUCUAUUCAAAGGAAAGACACGCUGACCCGCUGGGAAUAUAGUAUCGGUUCUUCCGAGGACUGUCUUCACAGGAGAAUUGCUGAAAUGAAGGACCAGGAGUGCAGGACUGCUAUUGAGGACGUCAUGUACAUGUUGAUUGUUCAUAAAUAUUCCAAGAUUGAGGUUCCGAUGGUUCCGAAUCUAUCAAAAAUCAUCAGUAAUAGAAGAUUACAUAUAUGGCCACCAAGGGAGGCAGAUCUUGAAUCCAUUCAUGGACCUGAGGUGCUAGGUCAAAUUAAGGAGCACUUGACUAGCAUUAUCAGAUGGGUGCACAGGAAUGGCCCCAAGAUCAAUCGCUCAACACUUCGUGUCAAAAGACUGCAAUUAGCUCGGAUCUAUUCUGCUUCAAUAAUGUAUGGGUACUUCCUCAAAUCUGUCGCUGUAAGGCAUCGCUUGGACCUUACUUUUGCUCGGUCAGAAGAAUGUUUACAGCCAAUUCAGCUUCUCAAUGCUCAACUUGCAACUACCCGUAAAAAGGAACAGCAAGAGGCCUUUGACGGUUCUGUGGAAACGGUGCCUUCCUCGAAACCGCGGUCUGUCGUUGAUCCUCAUGACCUGAAGAGUUACAUGAUGGGCUUCGACCCAAAGACCUUGGAGUUAUGCGCGAAGCUGCGCACAAACGAGGCUUGUAAUCUCAUCGAGAAGCACAGCUGGGCACUCUUUGGAGAAAAGAUGGGCUCCACGGAGAUUGACGAGGCGGUGAUACUUGAUCCGGCAUCCCUGAAAAGACUGCUGCUUGAAGCCAUUGCAUUUGGUUCCUUCCUAUGGGAUAGCGAAGACUAUGUUGAUGAGAUAUACAAGUUGCAGGACAGCUGA